This 894-nucleotide long non-coding RNA is filed under the name Danio rerio (zebrafish). Its description in RNAcentral is "lncRNA lnc.veal2 (ENSDARG00000099896.2)". Lineage: Eukaryota; Metazoa; Chordata; Actinopteri; Cypriniformes; Danionidae. The record is from RNAcentral.
GGAGGGACUGAGCUCUCCUUGGGAUACACCUGAAGAUGUUGGAGCAGAUAAGUCUGGGUUCUUUUGAGAACUAAGUUAGAUGACCUCCAUGAUUUGGCCACCGUUCUGGUUGAAGAUGGAUUGACUUUAAUGUGACCGCAGUUCAUGAAGACUCCACUUUGAGGGAGGAUCUGCUCAAAAAGGUUGUGCUGCUUUAACCUCUGGAUAAAGACCUGCAGGCCAUCAUGAAAGACCAUUGCAAUGAGCCUCUGACUGAACCAGCUCAACACCUGCACUGGUGGAAAUCUAUCCACCUGCUGUCACCGCUAAAACCGUUUUAUAGAUCCCUUUUGUUCACUACAGGUUUUAUCCUGGCAACUUUAAUAGUAUCUGGAUGCAGCUUUUAUGAUGCAAGCUGAGACUGCAGCACUCUGCGAUACAAUGUCAGACUCGAUACACUCAAUGGAGUGAGGGACUUCACUGUGACUGGUAGGGUUAGGGGUGGGGUUAGGUGAUCGCAUUAAAGCAUUUUAUGCAGCUCCGAUUGCACUGCAUAGAGUCUGCAGCCAGACCCCUCAACUCUAUCCACAAGGGUUUUGUUUUGGCAGUGCAACUUUCCUUAAGUUGCUGUUUUUAAUAAGGCAGUGUAAGGCUUCUCUCCAGUGUGAACCCUUAUGUUUGUUCAUUCCUCCAAGAGGUUCUCAGAGUAUGGGUUCAUGUUGGUGCCUUUUUUUUUUUUUUUAAUAUACACACACAAGUCUUUACUGUCCAGCAAUUCACAAUUUACCUCUGAAUUUCACAUGUGUUCACAGAAUAAAGAUCACUUUUUUUUUUCUUUUUUUAAAUGGUAUUUGUAGCACAUUCAGUUUUUUUCUUGUCAUUUUAAAUGAAUAAAUGUCCCUGGUUUCUUGAUGC